Molecule: long non-coding RNA, 614 nt
Filed under: Dasypus novemcinctus (nine-banded armadillo)
Lineage: Eukaryota; Metazoa; Chordata; Mammalia; Cingulata; Dasypodidae
Description: lncRNA (ENSDNOG00000051383.1)
Source: RNAcentral
CAUCAAGCUCGGGAAGUUAAAGACUCACCCGCCCCACGCCUCUCUUAAGGCCAAUAACACUGCUCAGAGGGAAGGUUCAAAAGCUAGGCAGAGAGAAACCGUAACGUUUAUGACGGCGGGAUAAAGACCCUUUCCCACAGAAUGCCAUGCCUUUGUGAAAUGAUUAUAAGGAAUCGUCCCUUGAAUAUAGACUGCUGUGACUGUUGGGCGAGCGCUGCCCCUGCCGAAAGUGAGAGGAGAGCAGAAAGUGCAAGAAAGUCAAAGUGGCUACCCCGAGGCUUGUAGCACCACGCUCUACAGGACCUGGAAGUAAGAGGAGGACUCCCACCCCAUAAAAUGACAGGCAAUAACGUAAUAGAAUCCCAUUAUAGACAUGUGUUGACCACACUGGAUGAUCAAAAGGCCACCAAUGAAUAUACUAUCAACAGCACAGAGGACGUGCCCACAGUCCCACACCCAGUGGACCCCAUCCCAACCAUUGGGCCAAGGAAGAGAGUAUGGAGUUUGCUCUCCAGAUCACCAUGCUCUGGUUCCUGUCUGUAUACAGCUUUGCAAAUGGUGGAAUGAUUGUGUCAUUAUUUGGUGGGUUGCUUGGGGACAAGCUUGAAAGGUAG